UACGAGGGGGGCGAGCGUUGUUCGGAAUUAUUGGGCGUAAAGGGUGCGUAGGCGGUUUGAUAAGUCUUGUGUGAAAUCUCUGGGCUCAACCCAGAGUCUGCAUAGGAAACUGUCGGGCUUGAGUAUGGGAGAGGUGAGUGGAAUUUCCGGUGUAGCGGUGAAAUGCGCAGAUAUCAGGAGGAACACCGGUGGCGAAGGCGGGUCUCUGGGCCGAUACUGACGCU
Molecule: ribosomal RNA, 224 nt
Filed under: uncultured bacterium
Lineage: Bacteria
Description: partial 16S ribosomal RNA
Rfam family: Bacterial small subunit ribosomal RNA
Source: RNAcentral